GGUUUUGGUGUUGAUUUGUGGAAGAUUGUUUUCUGGUUGGGUUAUAAGGUUGGUUGUGUACUUCAUUGAGAGUAAUUUUUUGUUGCGAAAACGCGUUUUAUAUUUCGUGUAUGGAUUGAGGAAUUCAGUGCAGAAUUGUAUUUGGUUGAGUUUAGUUUUGAUUGCUUGGCUGUGUAUUUUUGAUGAAAAAGUUGAUAAAAUGACUGGUGGGAAGGUUUUGCCUCAUGUGUCAAGUAUUUGGAUUUGUCUUUUGGUUGGUGCAUACAUUUGGUUGUUGAAAACGCUUCUUGUGAAGGUACUAGCUAUGUCAUUUCAUGUUAGUAUAUUCUUUGAUCGAAUUCAAGAAUCUUUGUUUAAUCAGUAUGUGAUCGAGACGUUGUCUGGGCCUGCAUUGGUUGAGAUUGAUCAAUCGGAGCAAGAGGAGGAAGGAGAGAAAGUUAUGGUUGAA
Molecule: unclassified non-coding RNA, 448 nt
Filed under: Hevea brasiliensis (rubber tree)
Lineage: Eukaryota; Viridiplantae; Streptophyta; Magnoliopsida; Malpighiales; Euphorbiaceae
Source: RNAcentral